AGCUUUAGGAAUGGAUCUAAGGUUAUACCUGCCCAAUGUGUAAUUCUAUUAAUGGCCGCGGUACCUUGACCGUGCUAAGGUAGCGCAAUCAGUUGGCUCUUAAUUGGGGUCAGGAAUGAAUGGAGUUACGGAGUUUUACUGUCUCUUAGUUAAUUAUUCUAAAUUACUAUUUAGGUGAAAAAGCCUAAUAAAAGAAAGGGGACGAGAAGACCCUUAGAGUUUGGCCUACAUAAAUUUUAGAAAUCUUGUUUAUAAUGGUUUAGUUGGGGCAACGUAGGAGCAAUAAAAAAUAAAAAUCUCCUAAAUUUUAUUAACCGAUAUUUUUAAAUUUGGAUAAACUACCUUAGGGAUAACAGCAUAAUUUAAUAAAUAAGUUUGUGACCUCGAUGUUGGACUAGGAAACUUAAAGGCUAGCCGUCUUUAAGGAAAGUUCUGUUCGAACUAUAAUUCCU
This 452-nucleotide ribosomal RNA is filed under the name Doriprismatica rossi. RNAcentral describes it as "partial 16S ribosomal RNA". It matches the Rfam family "Archaeal large subunit ribosomal RNA", at positions 1919 to 2665 of the family's 2987-position model. Lineage: Eukaryota; Metazoa; Mollusca; Gastropoda; Nudibranchia; Chromodorididae. The record is from RNAcentral.